UUUUUUUUUUUUCUUUUUUUUUAAGUGGCUGCCCUGUGGCAUAUGGAAGUUCCUGUGCCGGGACUGAAACUGAGCCACAGCUGUGACCUACACCGCAGCUGCAGCAAUGCCGGAUCCUUUAACCCACUGCACCAGCCAGGGAUUGAACCCACACCUCUGCAGUGUCUGGAGCCGCUGCAGUCAGAUUCCUAACCCACUGCACCACAGGGGGAACUCCUCCAGGGUCAUUUUGGCUGAAGAUGUGGUUUCAAUGCACUGACCCAAAGGAAGCAAAGUCACAAGAUUCUUUACCUGCAGGUCCCAGAAAUGGACGUGGGGGAGCAUAAAGAGCGGGAAGAAGGCCAGUCCUCCGUCCCAGGUCAUGGGUGAGCAGGACACAGAGAACAGGAUUUAUAAAGUGGCUGUGGAAUUCCCGUCGUCAUGGCUCAGUGGUUAACAAAUCCAACUAGGAACCAUGAGGUUGCGGGUUCGAUCCCUGGCCUCGCUCAGUGGAUUAAGGAUCGGGCAGUCGCUGUGAGCUGUGGGGUAGGUCGCAGACGUGGCUUGGAUCCCUCGUUGCUGUGGCUUCGGUGUCAGCCGGCCCCGAUUAGACCCCUAGCCCAGGAGCCUCCGUAUGCCGCAGGUGCGGUCCUAGAAAAGGCAAAAAGAAAAAAAUAAAGUGGCUUAUAACCUCGCAGGCUCAACUCUAAGUGUUAUUUUAAAAGGUGCCCCAGGAAAAGCAAAGUGGAAAUAUGGGCGGGAAUCUGAAGCUCAGUCCCUUAUCUGAAUGUCCAGACGCUGGGUGUCAGCAGGAUGGUGCCGACACGGCCACGCAGAAGAGCUGUUUUCUCGUCACGUCUGUGUUUCCUCCUCUCCAAAAGGGAGGUAACAGUAGUGACCUGUCUUAACAGGAUUGUCGAGGAGUCAGAGUAGUGGAGCUGGGCUUAGAACAGGGCCCGGCACGUGUGUACCCAGUGAAAGUUGGUUUUUAUAAUCAGUUCUGGGGACGAUUCUUUAGAGACGCCUGCAGACAGAAGGCAGCAGAUGGAGAGGGUGUGCAUCAAGGCAGGGGACAAGCCGGUCACCUCUGGGAAGGCCGGAGGCAUCGGGAAGGUUGAGAGCAGAAAAGCGAAAGCUCGGAGCGUGGAGAAAACAUCCCAUGUUCGGAGAAAUUUCUCCUCGUGCUUCUCCUUUGCGUUCUGUAGGACUCGCAGUAGAAAGGCUGGAAACAGUCCCGGGAGAAGUGAGGAAGGCAGGGGAUGGAGUUGAGAACGUACAGGUUCAUAACCAGUAACAGCAGGUUUGAACCCCCGUUCUGUCCCUCACUAGCUGCACCACUGUGGAGGCUGCUCAGAUUUUUGAACUUGAGUGUGUGUGUCUGUGAACAGGAAAUCGUAAUAGUGCCUUCUGAUGUUUUGAAUGAAAGAGGUGACAGGCACGGUUCUCGGCUAAGGCAGACGGGGAUCUGUUAGAUGCGUCAUUGUCCAAGAUUUGGCUCUCACCUCUUUUUAGGGCCCCACCCGCAGCAUAGGGAGGGUCCCAGGGUAGGGGUUGAAUCGGAGCUGCAGCCACCGGCCUACGCCACAGCCACUGCAACACCGGAUCCAAACCACACUUGAGACCUACACCACAGCUCACAGUAAUGUUGGAUCCUUAACCCACUGAGUGGGGCCAGGGAUUGAACCUGCGUCCUCAUGGAUUCUAGUUGGGUUCAUUACCACUGAGCCACAGUAGGAACUCCCAAUCUGGCCCUCAACUUUGCAGGCUAAACUUUUGCUAUUAAUUUAGCUAGGCUGAUGCUAACACAGCUUUUUCGGGGUUAUGGUAGGUUGAACAGGGCCUCCGAAGAUCUGUCCAUGUUGGAACCCUUGAAACCUGUGAGUGUGACCUUCUUUGGGAAAAGGCUCUUUGCAGGUAUAAUUAAGGACCUUGAAAUGAGACCCUCCUGGAUUUUCCAGGGGGGCCCUAAGUGUCGUAGCAGGUGUCCAUCAGAGGGAGGAAGAGACUAGGGCGAGGCACCCCAGGCAGGGAGCCCCGGGAGCCCCCAGAUGCUGGGAGAGGCAGGAGGGACCCUCCCCCAGAGCCUUCGGAGGGAGUGUGGGUUUCUGGCCUCCAGAACUGCGAGAGAAUGUCUCUUGUUUUCAGCCACUCUUUUUGUGGUAAUUUGUUAGAGCAGCCUCUGGAUAGAGUCUCCUUGAUUAGAGAAAGCUAUUUGGCCUAAUGGAUGAUAAAAAAUAAAUGUAAGAAAAUAAUUCAUCAGAAGAAGGUGUGGUUAGUAAUGAAAACCAGAUACGCUGGGUUUGGAGAAGAAAAUGUCACCAACUCUUGCCAUGUCCAUUCAUCCCUGGCCAGAUGAAGAGGACACAGCCUUCUGGUUCCGGCAGGAGUGAACUGUUGAGUGGGGCUGGGAUGCCCCACCAUGAGGCCACUUCCCAGUCCGAGGGACGCUUCCCAGGCUGUGCCCGUCUUUGCUGCACCUCAGAGUUUGCCAGCGAGCACUCGGUGCCGGAUCACGGCUGAGACUCGCUCCCAGGUCAGAGGACGCCCCGCCCAGCCCCGUGUGGGAUAAACCGCCCCACGGUCGUGGAGCUUCGCCAGCCAGCGGUUACCCAGUAUGAUCUCUUCAUGAGGGGAUCGGAGAGGUUGUACAGGAAGUUAUUUGAAAGUAUCUAACUCAGGUCUUCACAGAUCGGUUUGGACAGAGAGCCCAGGCAGGACAAAAUGACAACCACGUCGCGAGUACCAGUGACACUUCGCGGUGCCUUGAUCCUGGGAAAGAGCGGGCCCUGGCGAAACAAUUCCCGGCAGGUGGAUGGCAGUUAGGACCUAAGCUGGUUUUCCUUUUAUACUUCAGCCUUGUACUGGUUUCCUAGGGCUGCAGUAACAGAUCACCACGAGGGCUCUAGGGGAAAACGCCUCCACGCCUCCUGCAGGUUCCAGUGGCUGUCCCCCCACCCCUCAGCUGUGCGGCCCCCGCUCCCCUCUCUGCCGUGUCUUCGCGUCCCCUCCUCUGUGUCCCUGUCACCUUCCUUUCCCUUUGAGGACCCUUGCCGUGGUUUUAGGACCCGCCCACCUAGUCCACCUGGACUGUCCUCAUCUGUAAACCCUUCAUGAAGUCACAUCUGCAGAGACCUCUUUUCCACGUAAAAUAACGUUUACAAAUUCCCAGGCUUAAGAUUCUGUGUCUUUGGGCGGCCAUUAUUCAACUGGGCUUAGGAGACAGAAUAAAUCCCCCCGUUACGUUUUUGUUUCUCAUUUGUGUUUAUACUUCCAAAUGGGUGAUACAGGCCAUGGAUUAAUAUUUAAAGGUACAAAGAGAUACCAAGAACAGUCCUCUCUUUCUUGCUCUGGAAGGGGGUUUUGCAGAUCUAUUUCCUUUCUGAUAAUUCAUUGAGCUGUACUCUUAGGAUUUGUAAACUUUAUUCUGUAUGUUAAACUUUAAGACAUUUAACUGCAGAAAAAAAACCCAUAAAGGAUCUUUCAUUCACUCUAUUUCCUCCCCUGAAUGUUUCUCCCUCUUCCCUGCUUAUCCAGAUUCUCCUUUAUUCUUUCAAAGCCUCGUCUCACCUCUAGUAAUUCUUCCCUGGGGGCUCCAGCUGUGCGUGGUCCACCCUCGGAAUCCCGUAGCACUGUCAGUACCAUGCUUCUGUGGCAGCUCCGUCUGCGUUGUCUUGGCAUUUAAACUUGGAGUUUGGGAGUUCCCUGGUGGCUCAGCUGGUAAAGGACCCAACUUUAUGAGGAUUCGAGUUUGAAUCCCUGGAUUAAGGAUCUGGCAUUGCUGUGAGCUGUGGCAUAGAUCAUAGAUGUGGUUUGGAUCUGGUGUGGCCAUGGCCAUGGCCUAGGCUGGCAGCUACAGUUCUGAUUGGACCCCAGGCCCGGAAACUUCCAUAGGCUGCAGGUGCAGCU
RNAcentral lists this long non-coding RNA (3885 nucleotides) under Sus scrofa (pig). Its description in RNAcentral is "lncRNA (ENSSSCG00000062027.1)". The record is from RNAcentral. Lineage: Eukaryota; Metazoa; Chordata; Mammalia; Artiodactyla; Suidae.